RNAcentral lists this ribosomal RNA (378 nucleotides) under uncultured bacterium. Its description in RNAcentral is "bacterial SSU rRNA". It matches the Rfam family "Bacterial small subunit ribosomal RNA", at positions 963 to 1340 of the family's 1533-position model. The record is from RNAcentral.
GAAGAACCUUACCUACCCUUGACAUCCAGAGAAUCUGUUAGAGAUAGUAGAGUGCCUUCGGGAGCUCUGAGACAGGUGCUGCAUGGCUGUCGUCAGCUCGUGUUGUGAGAUGUUGGGUUAAGUCCCGUAACGAGCGCAACCCUUAUCCUUAGUUGCCAGCGGGUUAAGCCGGGAACUCUAGGGAGACUGCCGGUGAUAAACCGGAGGAAGGUGGGGACGACGUCAAGUCAUCAUGGCCCUUAUGGGUAGGGCUACACACGUGCUACAAUGGUCGGUACAGAGGGUUGCCAACCUGCGAGAGUAAGCAAAUCCCAGAAAGCCGAUCCUAGUCCGGAUUGGAGUCUGCAACUCGACUCCAUGAGGUCGGAAUCGGUAGGG